RNAcentral lists this ribosomal RNA (453 nucleotides) under Fusarium fujikuroi. RNAcentral describes it as "eukaryotic LSU rRNA". The stretch from base 98 to 251 matches the Rfam family "5.8S ribosomal RNA". Lineage: Eukaryota; Fungi; Ascomycota; Sordariomycetes; Hypocreales; Nectriaceae. The record is from RNAcentral.
GGAUCAGCCCGCUCCCGGUAAAACGGGACGGCCCGCCAGAGGACCCCUAAACUCUGUUUCUAUAUGUAACUUCUGAGUAAAACCAUAAAUAAAUCAAAACUUUCAACAACGGAUCUCUUGGUUCUGGCAUCGAUGAAGAACGCAGCAAAAUGCGAUAAGUAAUGUGAAUUGCAGAAUUCAGUGAAUCAUCGAAUCUUUGAACGCACAUUGCGCCCGCCAGUAUUCUGGCGGGCAUGCCUGUUCGAGCGUCAUUUCAACCCUCAAGCCCCCGGGUUUGGUGUUGGGGAUCGGCGAGCCCUUGCGGCAAGCCGGCCCCGAAAUCUAGUGGCGGUCUCGCUGCAGCUUCCAUUGCGUAGUAGUAAAACCCUCGCAACUGGUACGCGGCGCGGCCAAGCCGUUAAACCCCCAACUUCUGAAUGUUGACCUCGGAUCAGGUAGGAAUACCCGCUGAAC